This 939-nucleotide long non-coding RNA is filed under the name Populus trichocarpa (black cottonwood). RNAcentral describes it as "long non-coding RNA (PTRI_LNC001841)". Lineage: Eukaryota; Viridiplantae; Streptophyta; Magnoliopsida; Malpighiales; Salicaceae. The record is from RNAcentral.
UCCAGGGAUGUGUCCUCACCGGCGUUUGGGUUAUAGCUCAUGAGUGUGGUCAUCAUGCCUUUAGCGACUAUCAAUUGCUUGAUGACAUCGUUGGCCUUGUCCUCCAUUCUUGUCUCCUCGUCCCUUAUUUUUCAUGGAAACAUAGCCAUCGUCGCCAUCAUUCCAACACAGGCUCUCUGGAUAGGGAUGAAGUGUUUGUACCGAAGAAGAAAUCUGGUAUCCGUUGGUACUCCAAAUACCUUAACAACCCGCUAGGUCGUUUCCUCACCAUUACCAUCACCCUUACUCUUGGCUGGCCUCUUUACCUUGCAUUCAAUGUUUCAGGCAGACCUUAUGAUAGGUUUGCUUGCCACUACGAUCCAUAUGGCCCUAUCUACAAUGAUCGUGAGCGUGUGGAGAUAUUUAUAUCUGAUGCUGGUAUUCUUGCUGUCACUUACGGGCUCUACCGCCUUGCAGUCGCAAAGGGACUUGGUUGGGUUCUUUGUGUUUAUGGAGGGCCAUUACUUGUGGUGAAUGCAUUCCUUGUUCUGAUCACAUAUCUGCAGCAUACCCAUCCUUCAUUGCCGCAUUACGAUUCAUCUGAGUGGGACUGGUUAAAAGGGGCUCUAGCAACCGUCGAUAGAGAUUAUGGAAUCUUGAACAAGGUCUUCCAUAACAUAACAGACACUCAUGUAGCUCACCAUUUGUUCUCAAUGAUGCCACACUACCAUGCUAUGGAGGCAACGAAGGCAAUCAAACCAAUUUUGGGAGAUUACUACCAACAUGACGGAACUCCAGUCUAUAAGGCAACGUGGAGAGAGGCCAAGGAAUGCAUUUAUGUACAUCCAGACGACGACGACGACGACAAACAGAAGAACAAAGGCGUCUUUUGGUACAGAAAUAAAUUGGAUUGAAGAUGUCAUCAUGAAUGUAUCGGGGAGUGGAGGUUUCUGUUUGUUG